Non-coding RNA from Pelobates cultripes (western spadefoot toad), 410 nucleotides. NCBI's taxonomy places the organism in Eukaryota, Metazoa, Chordata, Amphibia, Anura, Pelobatidae. The record is from the annotation of a GenBank genome assembly.
CCUGCAGCCUCACUGCUCAAUCCUCUGCCAUUUAGGAGUUAAAUCCCUUUGUUUAUGAACCCUAGUCACACCUCCCUGCAUGUGACUUGCACAGCCUUCCAUAAACACUUCCUGUAAAGAGGGCCCUAUUUAGGCUUUCUUUAUUGCAAGUUCUGUUUAAUUAAGAUUUUCUUAUCCCCUGCUAUGUUAAUAGCUUGCUAGACCCUGCAAGAGCCUCCUGUAUGUGAUUAAAGUUCAAUUUAGAGAUUGAGAUACAAUUAAGGUAAAUUACAUCUGUUUGAAAGUGAAACCAGUUUUUUUUUCAUGCAGGCUCUGUCAAUCAUAGCCAGGGGAGGUGUGGCUAGGGCUGCAUAAACAGAAACAAAGUGAUUUAACUCAUAAAUGACAGUGAAUUGAGCAGUGAAAUUGCA